This 90-nucleotide transfer RNA is filed under the name Ustulina deusta. RNAcentral's name for it is "Kretzschmaria deusta tRNA-Arg". It matches the Rfam family "tRNA". Rfam says of the family: Transfer RNA (tRNA) molecules are approximately 80 nucleotides in length. Their secondary structure includes four short double-helical elements and three loops (D, anti-codon, and T loops). Further hydrogen bonds mediate the characteristic L-shaped molecular structure. tRNAs have two regions of fundamental functional importance: the anti-codon, which is responsible for specific mRNA codon recognition, and the 3' end, to which the tRNAs corresponding amino acid is attached (by aminoacyl-tRNA synthetases). tRNAs cope with the degeneracy of the genetic code in two manners: having more than one tRNA (with a specific anti-codon) for a particular amino acid; and 'wobble' base-pairing, i.e. permitting non-standard base-pairing at the 3rd anti-codon position. The record is from RNAcentral. Lineage: Eukaryota; Fungi; Ascomycota; Sordariomycetes; Xylariales; Xylariaceae.
GGCCUCGUGGCCUAAUGGCUAGGGCGCUAGAUUUCGGUGCUCCAUCAGCAGAUUCUCUAGAGAUUGUCGGUUCGAGUCCGGCCGAGGUCG